RNAcentral lists this unclassified non-coding RNA (405 nucleotides) under Hevea brasiliensis (rubber tree). The record is from RNAcentral. Lineage: Eukaryota; Viridiplantae; Streptophyta; Magnoliopsida; Malpighiales; Euphorbiaceae.
CAAACCUAAUAAAUUUUGCUUUUGGAUUAUUAUAUUUUCAAAUCCUCGUGGCACAUAGGGGGUUAACAAAUGGAGUGCUUAAAUCAGGAUCAUCUGCCUUGUUUGGUGGAUGCUGCAUAGAAUGCGCAUAUGAUCCUGUUCAGGCUUGCAAUGCAGUUGAUAUGGUCCCACAAUGCUUGCAGGAUGAAAAGCCGGUAGAAUGCCCCAGCAGAUGUCCUGUGGAUGCAUAAGUCUUUUGUCCCUUUUCUCCGCAUUCUUUCCUGUUCUCAGUGUUAAGCAAAAUCCUGCGUGUCUAACUUGCAUUCUAUGCUUGCUUCAUUAUCAUUUCUUGCUUCCCAGUUUUAUGGAUAUGUUUUAUUUAUACACACUAUGUCUUGAGAAUUAUCUGAAGAAUGGAGGUACUAG